GUUGGGACUCACCUACAGUGAACUCUCAGAUCAUCAAGAGUAUGUUUGAUAUUUGUAAAAAGAAUUAAUUAUAAUGAAACAUUGAACAGUACUGGUAAAAAAAAAAUCACAUUUUAAAAACUCCUUUUAUAGAUGUGAAAGAUGCAUGGGAGGGGAAACGUAUGCGUGUACUUGAAUCGAGGAUUGGGCCCUUAAAAAUAUUGUAUAAAGACAUUUUCUCCACUGCACCAAAGAGACCAGUAACAGAUGAGGUAAUAAACGCAUAUCUGACCCUCCUGGUCAAAGAAUUUAAUAAGGAUGGUCCAGAGAAGGCGUUUCCACUGGACUCUGGGAGGAUGAAGACUAUAUGGCAACACAAAAGACCAACCAAAACUCAGAUCGACCUGGAGGUCUUCAAGUACAUUGUGGGGGUCAAUGAAGGUCAUCACUGGAUGCUUGUGGUAAUAGUUUCUUCAACUUGGUGGUCAUCUUCUAAGCAGCACAUGCAGUCUGCACAGUGCUGCUGGAAACCUACACAGCUGCUAGUGCAGCAUGAUGUUAAUUUUAACUCUAAAAUAUGUCGGUGAUUAAACCAGGAGAGAGGAGAACCCUGUUCAUGGAUCCACUGGGGGAACAUGGAGAAGAUGCAGCACUGCAAGAACGUGACGAGGUAAAUGAGUCUAUCAGCAUAUUUUCAGAUAAACAGUCUGAGCUUUAGAGGAAAGUAUAAAUAAAGGAUUAAUAAAACUACUUGACUGUAAAUACUGGACACCUUCAGGGUACUGUACUGGGAAAGCAAAGUUAUGUUGGUCGUAUUGAUAUUCAGCAAACCCAUCAAAUAAGUGUAUCAUGCAUUUCAUAUCCUAACGUCUUUUAAAUUGUUCAGGAGACACUUUUUCAUAAGAUUUGUUCCUCCCCAUAAAUCAUUCUUGAACCCUUCAUUCAGUUUGCCGAGUGCAUUUUGAACGGUUGUCCAGUGGAAUUUAAUGGAUCUCCUUCAGUGCUGACGCCAUACGACAGGAGAUUGCAGUCUGUCUUCUGGAGAAUACACUCUUAAAAAUAUACGCAUGUUGUGUGUGGCCAUGACAUCACUCACUUACUCAGACAUUCAAUCACUGUGCUGUGCCUAAACCCCCAUGUCUUUCCUUCCUCAUCAGGCCGACACACCUGCAGCAGAUCCAAAAUCUCUACCGCCCAAUUACGAGCCUGCUAUAAGCCAACAAGUUCAGUUAACUGAGACACAGACCCAGCAACACCUUAGUCCCACAUUAUGAUUUGUUAAACACCCCUUUCUUUCAGUAAUCUUUGAUUUUGUGUUAUUUUGGCUGGAGAUGGCCGGCAGUCCUACUUUUCAGUUUAGUUUAUAAUGUGGUUUUGUCAGGCAGGGAGGG
RNAcentral lists this long non-coding RNA (1370 nucleotides) under Sparus aurata (gilthead seabream). RNAcentral describes it as "lncRNA (ENSSAUG00010005203.1)". The record is from RNAcentral. Lineage: Eukaryota; Metazoa; Chordata; Actinopteri; Spariformes; Sparidae.